Molecule: ribosomal RNA, 309 nt
Filed under: uncultured eukaryote
Lineage: Eukaryota
Description: partial 18S ribosomal RNA
Rfam family: Eukaryotic small subunit ribosomal RNA
Source: RNAcentral
CCCUUAGAUGUUCUGGGCGGCCCGCGCACUACAAUGGCGUGUGCAGCGAGUGCCGAAGUAGAGUUUUCCGUGGUAUUCUUGCAAUGCUCGUUUUGAUGGGGAUAGACCCUUGCAACUGUUGGUUUUGAACGAGGAAUUCCUUGUAAGCAUGGUUUAUCAUCCGACGCUGAAUGCGUCCCUGCCCUUUGUACACACCGCCCGUCGCUCCUACCGAUGAGUCGUCCGGUGAAGUUCGUAGACCUCGUGAUCGCGGAUCACUGGGGGAAGCAAAAUGAACCUCGCGGUUUAGAGGAAGGAGAAGUCGUAACA